This 61-nucleotide microRNA precursor is filed under the name Chrysemys picta bellii (western painted turtle). RNAcentral describes it as "Cpi-Mir-338-P2_pre stem-loop". It matches the Rfam family "mir-338 microRNA precursor family", at positions 6 to 66 of the family's 69-position model. Lineage: Eukaryota; Metazoa; Chordata; Testudines; Emydidae. The record is from RNAcentral.
AACAAUAUCCUGGUGCUGAGUGAGUUGCACACGGAGACUCCAGCAUCAGUGAUUUUGUUGA